ACAAAAGCGGACCCGGGGGCGGAGCCAGACGAGGAAGCGGAAGCGGCGGUCUGGGAUCCGCUACCCGCGCUGGCCUCGGCCCCACGUGUCGAGUUGCUACGAUGGAAGUCAAAGGGAAAAAAAACAUUACAGGAAAGAGUACAAAGGCAUCACAAGAAAAAAAAAACAGACUUCAUAAAAACAGCGUAGAUUCUGGUUCUUCAAGGACAUUCCCAAGAAAAGUUGUUAAGGAAGGUGGACUUAAAAUCACUUCUAAGAACUUUGAGAAAAGUGCCACAAAACCUGGGAAGAAGGGUGUUAGGCAAUUUAAGAAUAAGCAACAAGGGGACAAAGCACUGAAGAACAAAUUCCAGCAGGCAAAUAAAUUCAACAACAAGAGAAAAUUCCAGCCAGACAGUAAAAGUGAUGAAUCAGCAGCCAAGAAACCCAAAUGGGAUGAUUUCAAAAAGAAGAAGAAAGAACUGAAGCAGAGCAGGCAACUCAGUGAUAAAACCAACUAUGACAUUGUUGUUCGGGCAAAGCAGAUUUGGGAGAUUUUAAGAAGAAAAGACUGUGACAAAGAAAAAAGAAUAAAGUUGAUGAGUGACUUGCAGAAGUUGAUUCAAGGGAAAAUUAAAACUAUUGCGUUUGCACAUGAUUCAACUCGGGUGAUCCAGUGUUACAUUCGCUAUGGUAAUGAAGAACAGAGAAAACAGGCUUUUGAAGAAUUGCGAGAUGAUCUGGUUGAAUUAAGUAAAGCCAAAUAUUCCAGAAAUAUUGUUAAGAAAUUUCUCAUGUACGGAAGUAAACCACAGAUUGCGGAGAUAAUCAGAAGUUUUAAAGGCCAUGUGAGGAAGAUGCUGCGGCAUGCAGAAGCGUCAGCCAUCGUGGAGUAUGCAUACAAUGACAAAGCCAUUUUAGAACAGAGGAACAUGCUGACGGAGGAGCUCUACGGGAACACGUUUCAGCUUUACAAGUCAGCAGAACACCCAACUCUGGAGAAAGUGUUGGAGGUACAGCCAGAAAAAUUGGAGCUUAUUAUGGAUGAAAUGAAACAGAUUUUAACUCCCAUGGCCCAAAAGGAAGCUGUGAUUAAACACUCAUUGGUGCAUAAAGUGUUCUUGGACUUUUUUACCUAUGCACCCCCCAAACUCAGAUCAGAAUUGAUUGAAGCCAUCCGCGAAGCGGUGGUAUACCUGGCACACACACACGAUGGCGCCAGAGUGGCCAUGCACUGCCUGUGGCAUGGCACACCCAAGGACAGAAAAGUGAUUGUGAAAACAAUGAAGACUUAUGUCGAAAAGGUGGCUAAUGGCCAAUACUCCCAUUUGGUUUUACUGGCAGCGUUUGAUUGUAUUGAUGAUACUAAGCUUGUGAAGCAGAUAAUCAUAUCAGAAAUUAUCAGUUCUUUGCCUAACAUAGUAAAUGACAAAUAUGGAAGGAAGGUCCUAUUGUAUUUACUAAGCCCCAGAGAUCCUGCACAUACGGUACGAGAAAUCAUUGAAGUUCUGCAGAAAGGCGAUGGAAAUGCACACAGUAAGAAAGAUGCAGAGAUCCGUCGAUGCGAGCUCUUAGAAUCCAUUUCUCCAGCUUUGUUAAACUACCUACAAAAACACACCCAAGAAGUGGUGCUGGAUAAGUCUGUGUGUGUGUUGGUGUCCUGCAUCUUGGGAUCUGCCACUGGAGACAUUCAGCCUGCCAUGAGUGCCAUUGCCAACUUGGCAGCAGCAGAACUUCACCCCGGGGGCAAGGAUGGAGAGCUUCAUGUUGCAGAACAUCCUGCUGGACAUCUAGUUCUGAAGUGGUUAAUAGAGCAAGAUAAAAAGUUGAAAGAAAAUGGAAGAGAAGGUUGUUUUGCAAAAACACUUGUAGAGCAUGUUGGUAUGAAGAACCUGAAGUCCUGGGCUAGUGUGAAUCGAGGUGCCAUUAUUCUUUCUAGCCUUCUCCAGAGUUCUGACCAGGAAGUUGCAAACAAAGUCAAAGAUGGACUGAAAAGCCUGAUUCCCACUUUGGAAAAAAACAAAAACACCAGCAAAGGAAUAGAAACUCUACUUGAAAAACUGACUGCAUAGGUGGAGACAGUUAAGAACAAGAUGGAAUAUUGUUCCUGUUCUCUGUUCUGUUUUCCCAGUGCACAAAAGAGAGGCUAGGGUCCACCUGACUGCCUGGCGAGGCUCCCAUGUUAUUCUAGUAUCCAGUCCUUUCCACGAGGCUCAGAUAUCCUGACUGGUAUAUUUCAGUGUUUC
Molecule: RNA transcript, 2225 nt
Organism: Cynocephalus volans (Philippine flying lemur)
Lineage: Eukaryota; Metazoa; Chordata; Mammalia; Dermoptera; Cynocephalidae
Gene: PUM3
Gene name: pumilio RNA binding family member 3
Exons: 19
Source: RefSeq, a predicted model, not a curated record